GGGAAAAGGAAGGCCACGAGGAUCUCGAAUCUGAGUGGACAUUCGACAUCUACAGAGAAGAAUGUCAGGAUGUGAAAAUUUGAAAUGAACGAACGAGAAAUAAUUAUUGUACAAGUACAAACGAAAAACGAGGCACGGAGAUUCGAACCCACGACUCUCGGAUUCACAGUGUAGCGCUUUACCUACAGAACCAGUCCCGUACCCUGCGUAUAGUGUUCUCAUUUGACUCAUUAUCGGAUAUGGGAGGCCCGGACGCUACAAGAGUAUAUUCUAAAUAAAAACGAAUUAUAUAACAAUUAAGCGACGAGAGUUUAGACGAAUCGAGCGUCAGAAAAUAAUUGGACCGGUGCGUAAAAUUCCUCUGGUUCGUUUCUGGUGGUCAUGCUUGUGAAGAAACGACAAAUUAGUGCAGCUAAAAGGCAGUCGCCGCGGGGAAACACGAUACCUCGUGCCCUUUAAAAAUUACGACUGACCGAGCUGGCGCGAGAAACGGAGAGAACGAAGAAGGGGAGUCUUUGUUUUGAUUAGGGAAUGUCAAAGCAAACUGUGGUGCCCUUUCUCGACGUCGUGAACCACGACUCUCCCUCGGAGUUUUACUACCUUUUUAUUAUGGUUCAUUUGUGGUGGUCAGCAGAAUCAGGACCCCAACUAGCACGCGAUCACGUUCCUCAACGAGGAAUUACUGAGCUAUUGUGUCAAAGAAGGAUAGGAGAAAGGAUAUAUUGAUAAUACACCAUGUUUCUUCAUUGAUUAGCUCCGCAGUAACACUGAUACCUUUCUGGAAUCCGUGUUUUACAAAAUAUACUUAAAUCUAUGUAACAUUCUAUAACAUUCAUUCUAGUUCAUUUUUUCUUUAGAUAAAAAUAUUCUUCUAUCCUAUUUAUUGAGAAUAAGAAUGGUACGUUCAGAUGAGGUAUAUAGCCAUACAGUUACAGUACAAAUGCGAUAUUAUUGUGCAUAACUUAUCUACUACGCAAGUUUAUUUGAACGCGGAUAACACAAUUCUUGUUCUAAUUAUUUAGAGAUUAUUUAGAGAUUUAGAGAUAAUUAUUUAGGGUAAUGGAGAUGGUGGCGGGUAAUCAAAUUCUUUUCGUACCGACCGAUGUUAUCGAGGCCUAGAUCGGUAACUGCAGCGCAGGGCCGGCGUUAGGGGAGUGCGCGCCCGGUGUCCCUGGUAACCCAAUGGCACAGAGUACUCUUACAGCAGCAAAACACCGGAUGUGUUCUACGCAUCUUCAUUACCUCUGGAUGCAGGAAUUGCAAGAGAUUCCACAUAUGGCAUCAACGUGGAAUUAAAGAAAACGAAAGCUUAUCGAUUUUAUUCGAAACAGAAGAAUUAAUAAUAUUCUAAACCAUAACAGAAAAUAUUUAAUUAAUUAGUAGAAAGCAUGCUUGAACUCUACUUUGGGGCACCCAAAUUCUUGAUCCCUAGAAUUCAUAAAUCUAAACUGUAAUAUUAGCUCUGGGAUAGGUUUAACAUUUAUUUUUUACCAUUUAGAAUUCAUAAAUCUAAAUUUUAAUUUGGUCUGGGUUAUGUUUGAAUAAACGGUAUAAAAAAAAUCCAAUAAUUUUUGGUGCCCCAAAGUUCAAUCGAAAGUAUACCACAAUGCAACAAUUAUACAGAAUGUAGUACAACUUUUCAAAGCUCACGAUUUAUGACUGUCAAAUAUUUAUCUCCGUCAGGGACUUCCAUGCAAAAUUAAAAAUUGUUUCGUAUUGGAUAACAAAAUCUUACUGACAGAGGAACCUGAAGUACAACUCAGGGAAAUGUCAAAAUUAUAAACUACAAAAUCCUACUGACAGAGAAAUCUGAAGUACCCACUCUAGGAACUAAUUACAAAAUUCUAAUCCAGUUCAGGGCAUCCCUAUGCCCUC
Long non-coding RNA from Hylaeus anthracinus, 1875 nucleotides. RefSeq lists it as uncharacterized. The record is from RefSeq and is a predicted model, not a curated record. The transcript is spliced from 3 exons. NCBI's taxonomy places the organism in Eukaryota, Metazoa, Arthropoda, Insecta, Hymenoptera, Colletidae.